This 857-nucleotide ribosomal RNA is filed under the name uncultured bacterium. RNAcentral's name for it is "bacterial SSU rRNA". It matches the Rfam family "Bacterial small subunit ribosomal RNA", at positions 10 to 916 of the family's 1533-position model. The record is from RNAcentral.
AGUUUGAUCCUGGCUCAGAGCGAACGCUGGCGGCAGGCCUAACACAUGCAAGUCGAACGAUCCUUCGGGAUAGUGGCGGACGGGUGAGUAACACGUGGGAACGUGCCUUUUGGUUCGGAAUAACUGAGGGAAACUUCAGCUAAUACCGGAUGAGCCCUACGGGGGAAAGAUUUAUCGCCGAAAGAGCGGCCCGCGUUAGAUUAGCUAGUUGGCGGGGUAAAGGCCCACCAAGGCGACGAUCUAUAGCUGGUCUGAGAGGAUGAUCAGCCACACUGGGACUGAGACACGGCCCAGACUCCUACGGGAGGCAGCAGUGGGGAAUCUUGCGCAAUGGGCGAAAGCCUGACGCAGCCAUGCCGCGUGAAUGAUGAAGGUCUUAGGAUUGUAAAAUUCUUUUACCAGGGACGAUAAUGACGGUACCUGGAGAAAAAGCCCCGGCUAACUUCGUGCCAGCAGCCGCGGUAAUACGAAGGGGGCUAGCGUUGCUCGGAAUUACUGGGCGUAAAGGGAGCGUAGGCGGGUCGUCAAGUUGGGGGUGAAAGCCCAGGGCUCAACCUUGGAAUUGCCUUCAAAACUGACGAUCUAGAGUAUGGAAGAGGUAAGUGGAACUCCGAGUGUAGAGGUGAAAUUCGUAGAUAUUCGGAAGAACACCAGUGGCGAAGGCGACUUACUGGUCCAUGACUGACGCUGAGGCUCGAAAGCGUGGGGAGCAAACAGGAUUAGAUACCCUGGUAGUCCACGCUGUAAACGAUGAUUGCUAGUUGUCGGGCGGCAUGCCGUUCGGUGACGCAGCUAACGCAUUAAGCAAUCCGCCUGGGGAGUACGGUCGCAAGAUUAAAACUCAAAGGAAUUGACGG